CCCUGCUCUGGAGCGAGCCGGGGAUGCGCUCGGCAGUGACUGGAGGGAGCUGCCGGAGCUGGGGCUGCCGCCGCGGGCAGGCUGAGGAGCAGGAGCCGAGCGCCGGAGCCAGCCCCUCCGUGUGGCCCCGCUUGCCCGUUCAACAGUGCAGUGCUGUGAGAGAUGCUAGCUGAGCCUGUGCAAAGAGCAAAUUUUACCAGAAUUGCUGAAAUCAUCCCAGAAAGACACUUUGCAGAUUGAUUCAGCAUCACAAGCUGAUCCAAUCAGGGUAUUGACAAAUACGCUAACGACGUCGAAAGUAGCCUACUUUAAGAGAAAAUAUGCAGAAGAAGAAGAUUUACAUCAAGAUUACCAGGGGUAUUUUCCAAAACACCUGAUAUUACCUGAGGACCGGACUUGUAUUCUAAAACUGUCUCUGCAGAAACUUCGAUUCCUUGAAGACCCUGAAACCUAUCUCCGUAGGUCUGUGCUUAUUAACAAUUUGCUGAGGAAGAUCCACCUAGAGACAGACAGAGAGAGCUAUGAAUACUUUAAAGAGGCACCCUGUUAUAGGACCGCUUACUCGGAUACAAGAAAACGGCUGAAGUUUAUGGUACAAGAAUGCUGUUCUCAGUCACUCUAUUAUGAAGAGCUGCAUUCGUAUCAUAUUGUGCCUUAUUCUACAGAGAAUUCCAUUUAUGGAAUGGGCUAUACAAGCGGCCACUUGGAGAAAAAUUCUCAGUUGCUUAUUUAUAAAAUGAAUUGAAGUAGCUGUUAGAUCCACUGAUGUUUUGUUUCUGAAUGCUUGAACUGCUUAUUAACAUGUGAAGAUGAGGCACUAAUUGUAAACAGACUUGUGAUGAAAGAUGGGUUACAUACAGAGAUGAAUGGAGGGUACUUUGAAUAAUACUCUGCAGUCAUUGGUAUGCGAAGGGUUUUAUAAGCAGAGAUCUUGCGUGCAAUGUAUUUUGUAGAAACUAAGUGACAUUAAGUUGCCAAUGUAGAUAUAAACAUUUUAUCUACUUCGUAUUUAAAUUAUGCCAUCCCAGGUGAGAGGUAAAACCAAAAGUGACAGAUUAUUCUGACAAUGAAGGUUGGGGGGUGGGAGUUAUUUUUUGUAAGGUUUAGCAAGCAAGUUUUCUUUGAGAAAUGCUUUGAAUCUGAAGGAAUCAGUGCCAAAAGAAACACCUCUUUGGUUAGGAUUUCCAAAAAAGCAAAAUAACCAAUCUGCUACUUACAAGAAGUUCUGCACCGAGAUCAGUCAGCACUCUAGUGAGGGUGUUUUUAAUUGAUCCACUCAAUUGCUCUCACUUCGUACUUAUCUUUCUGUUGACACACAUUUUGCGACAAAACGGAAUGACUCAGAUGAAAGUCUAUUUUCUCAGCCAGUUGUCAGUGUUUUCUAAACAUGAUUUGAAUCCCCUCCAGGUUGCCUGGCUGGAACUCUGAGGUUUUUGUGUGUGUGCUAUUUACUAUUCAACCAUGUGGUACAAUGCAUGAUCAGUGUUAGAGCUUAGGUGGGCACUUUUUGUGAUUUGAAAACAAAAAAACAACACAAAAACCCACCUUCCAGAAAAGGAAUAUAUUUGACACACUGUAGUAAAACCUGAGAGGUCUUUCAUUUGAGAUGAGUUUAAUCUGCAUUAGUAACAGUGUUUGAGGUGGAGUUAGAUGUCUAAUGUCAAUUUUUGGAAUUUCCUUUACAAUAUGUAUCAAGCAUGUCCUAUGAGACACAUUGCGCAAUCUAAUGACUAGAAUGGGAAAAUCAUAGCUGCCAGAGCUAUGUUCUGAAAAUACCAAAGAGUAACAUUAGGGAGAGGAUGACGUUAAAAUAAAUGGGGUCAAAAGCAGAGAGUGCACUAUAACUUGGGAGAACAUUAUUAACAAGCCAGUAAACUACAUAGUUACCAAUGUAUUUGUUCACUUAAGGAUGACUUGAAACACAGAAUUGCUGAACAAAUAUGCCUGAUCCAAAGCUUAUGGAAGUCAAUGGGAGUCCUAUAGACCAGUGGUUCUCAAACUUUUGUACUGGUGACCCCUUUCACAAAACAAGCCUCUGAGAGUGAC
Molecule: long non-coding RNA, 2046 nt
Organism: Mauremys reevesii (Reeves's turtle)
Lineage: Eukaryota; Metazoa; Chordata; Testudines; Geoemydidae
Exons: 4
Source: RefSeq, a predicted model, not a curated record